AGAAUUAUAAGUGAUUGAAGGCUUAUUCAGAAAGCGUAUGAAUGAAACGUUAUGAUGAAUAAGCCUUUUUUAAGUUUUAGUGAUUAUUUUUAGUUUAAGAUGCGUUGAUUGUUUUGAAUCGUGCAUGUUAAUUCAGGUAUUAAAUUUUUGAACGACGUGCAACUUAGUAAGAUGUUAAUCUUCUUGGUUAGAACUGAAGGAUAUGUGUGCGUUCGCUUUUGAAUUGAGUGAGGCUAUAACUGUUUAAAUUGAUUCAAAAGAUAAUUCACGCUAUGUUUUAAAUGUUUUGAUGUAAAAAUAACUCAAUACGUGUUAGUUUUCAAAAACAUAGUAAAUUUGAUUAGAAAUAACAGUUGAUUUUGUGUUGACGAUGGGUAUUCUACUUGGUAAGAUAAGGAAGUCGUUUCGAGGAGAUUGUAAAAAUAAUGCUUUCAUGAUUGAACGCAUGUAAACGAAUGAUUAAAAGUGUAAAAUUAACGCUUGAAACUUUCUCCGUAACAUUAUAAGAUAUUAAAUGUUGAACGAGACAACAACUUAUUAACAAAAAAUUUAAAAAAACUUUAAAUUAAAUCUUGACAGAGAAAUUUGUUUAAAGUAUAAUGUUUUCUUGUAACAGCAAAAACGAACAUUGAAACUGAAUGACAAUAUGUCAACGUUAAUUCCAAUAAUUUGAGUACUUCAAAAGUACUUUCGAGAGUGAUUGGCUUAAACAAUCAACGAGCUAUAUCAAGCUUACUUCUUUUAUGGAGAGUUUGAUCCUGGCUCAGGAUGAACGCUGGCGGCGUGCCUAAUACAUGCAAGUCGAGCGAACAGAUAAGGAGCUUGCUCCUUUGACGUUAGCGGCGGACGGGUGAGUAACACGUGGGUAACCUACCUAUAAGACUGGAAUAACUCCGGGAAACCGGGGCUAAUGCCGGAUAACAUGUUGAACCGCAUGGUUCUACAGUGAAAGACGGUCUUGCUGUCACUUAUAGAKGGACCCGCGCCGUAYUAGCWAGUUGGUGGGGUAACGGCCUACAACGGYGACGAUACGURUCCGACAUGAGASGGUGGUCGGCCACMCUGGAACUGARACAGGGUCCAGACUCCUACGRGAGGCRGCAGUGKGGAUUGUCUCUGGAAUGGGCGARAGCCUGRCGGAGARCGCCGCGKAACKGAGGUAGGAAUGCBGAGGGGAGUGCUYUGWAGUUAGGARGGAAGAGUUGUGAAAGAAAGACGGGAGAUCAUCCCGUCCACUGACUAACAAACCACGACUAAGGACGGCCCGGCCGCYGUGGGUAUGUSKCGUYGGWAAGBGAGACCGGCAGGGWWGGCGGGUAAUAAGAGGUUADUCUUUUUKUACCAUCAUUWGUYGUAUCCCACGGCGGGACCCWGUAGGUGAUAAGCGGAGAGACGUGUGUGAGUGACGUCCAAGCAGUGAGAUUGAGUGUUAGGCAAAUCCGGCACUCUUAAGAUUGAGCUGUGAUGGGGAGAGGAACUUGUUCCUCGAGUCGUUGAUUUCACACUGCCGAGAAAAGCCUCUAGCUAGAAUAACGGUGCCCGUACCGCAAACCGACACAGGUAGUCAAGAUGAGAAUUCUAAGGUGAGCGAGCGAACUCUCGUUAAGGAACUCGGCAAAAUGACCCCGUAACUUCGGGAGAAGGGGUGCUCUUUGAGGUUCACGCUUCGAAGAGCCGCAGUGAAUAGGCCCAAGCGACUGUUUAUCAAAAACACAGGUCUCUGCUAAACCGUAAGGUGACGUAUAGGGCUGACGCCUGCCCGGUGCUGGAAGGUUAAGAGGAGUGGUUAGCGCAAGCGAAGCUACGAAUCGAAGCCCCAGUAAACGGCGGCCGUAACUAUAACGGUCCUAAGGUAGCGAAAUUCCUUGUCGGGUAAGUUCCGACCCGCACGAAAGGCGUAACGAUUUGGGCACUGUCUCAACGAGAGACUCGGUGAAAUCAUAGUACCGGUGAAGAUGCCGGUUACCCGCGACAGGACGGAAAGACCCCGUGGAGCUUUACUGUAGCCUGAUAUUGAAAUUCGGUACAGUUUGUACAGGAUAGGUAGGAGCCUUAGAAGCGUGAGCGCUAGCUUACGUGGAGGCAUUGGUGGGAUACUACCCUAAUUGUAUUGGAUUUCUAACCCGCAGCACUUAUCGUGCUGGGAGACAGUGUCAGGCGGGCAGUUUGACUGGGGCGGUCGCCUCCUAAAGAGUAACGGAGGCGCUCAAAGGUUCCCUCAGAAUGGUUGGAAAUCAUUCAUAGAGUGUAAAGGCAUAAGGGAGCUUGACUGCGAGACCUACAAGUCGAGCAGGGUCGAAAGACGGACUUAGUGAUCCGGUGGUUCCGCAUGGAAGGGCCAUCGCUCAACGGAUAAAAGCUACCCCGGGGAUAACAGGCUUAUCUCCCCAAGAGUUCACAUCGACGGGGAGGUUUGGCACCUCGAUGUCGGCUCAUCGCAUCCUGGGGCUGUAGUCGGUCCCAAGGGUUGGGCUGUUCGCCCAUUAAAGCGGUACGCGAGCUGGGUUCAGAACGUCGUGAGACAGUUCGGUCCCUAUCCGUCGUGGGCGUAGGAAAUUUGAGAGGAGCUGUCCUUAGUACGAGAGGACCGGGAUGGACAUACCUCUGGUGUACCAGUUGUCGUGCCAACGGCAUAGCUGGGUAGCUAUGUAUGGACGGGAUAAGUGCUGAAAGCAUCUAAGCAUGAAGCCCCCCUCGAGAUGAGAUUUCCCAACUUCGGUUAUAAGAUCCCUCAAAGACGAUGAGGUGAAUAGGUUCGAGGUGGAAGCGUAGCGAUACGUGGAGCUGACGAAUACUAAUCGAUCGAAGACUUAAUC
Molecule: ribosomal RNA, 2816 nt
Filed under: Staphylococcus pseudintermedius
Lineage: Bacteria; Bacillati; Bacillota; Bacilli; Caryophanales; Staphylococcaceae
Description: bacterial LSU rRNA
Source: RNAcentral